CUUUAAGGAUUUUUUUUUGUUUUCAUUUUUCUUGUGGCAUGUAUAGGUGACACGUGCUGAUUUGAAUGAGGAAAAGGCCAAGAAAUCAAGCUUAAACUAUGAGCCAGCUCCUGGAGUCUCCUUUAUUCACGACUCACCAAUUAGACAAGACUACCAUCCAAAUCGCUGUCAAGAAAAAGUAUGUAUGAUGAAAUUCACUAUAGAGCAAUUAAGGAUAUUUUCUAAUAUGUUAUUAGAGAAAAAUCUGUGAAUCAGACAACCAGCAAGAUCAUCUGUUGAUUGUAGUCAGUUUUCCUCUUUGCCUUUUUCUCUUCCUUGACUUUCACUCUCUGUUAAUCUUGAAUUUUGCCAAGGUCUGAAAUUAUUGUUCAAAGAGUUAUUGUUAUUGGGGGGUACAAAGUUACUGUUAUCGCCAUUUUGCCCAGGGGCCUCAGGAGGGUAGAUUGGGGGAGCUUUGGGAGGUUUAAUCAUCACAAAGAAAAUAUCCAAUACUACACACUCACUCCAUAAUGGGAAGGCAUUACAGGAAAUGCCUUUGCAGACCCUUGCAGAUCUGGCUCAAGGGCUGAGCACCCUGCCCCUUAGGUAAGUGAACCAGGAUGCCUAGAUCUAUUUCAUAAUUCUCCUGGGAGUAAGAAGAAUCUUAGGAUGGCUACUCCAUCAAAAGAAGGGGAUCACAAAGAGAGCUGCAACUUGGACCAGGCGAAGAGCAUAAGGUAAGUCUGAUAAGCCCCAACUUUGGGGCUAGACAGAGGGAUCAUGAACUAGAAAGGGGUUCAGGGGAGUAGCACAUUCACAUACUUUUUCACACGUACAUGAGAGUUUCAUAGACUGUCCAACAAACACAAAGGCUGAGACAUACUGGCACCAGGAAGAUAUUUCUUGAUUUAAUAGUAUAGUGAAAAUGAGCUAAA
Long non-coding RNA from Cervus elaphus (red deer), 914 nucleotides. RefSeq lists it as uncharacterized. The record is from RefSeq and is a predicted model, not a curated record. NCBI's taxonomy places the organism in Eukaryota, Metazoa, Chordata, Mammalia, Artiodactyla, Cervidae. The transcript is spliced from 3 exons.